Molecule: ribosomal RNA, 435 nt
Filed under: uncultured bacterium
Lineage: Bacteria
Description: partial 16S ribosomal RNA
Rfam family: Bacterial small subunit ribosomal RNA
Source: RNAcentral
AGCGAACGCUGGCGGCAGGCUUAACACAUGCAAGUCGAGCGGGCAUCUUCGGAUGUCAGCGGCAGACGGGUGAGUAACACGUGGGAACGUACGCUUCGGUUCGGAACAACUCUGGGAAACUGGAGCGAAUACCGGAUACGCACUUAUGGGGAAAGGUUUACUGCCGAAGGAUCGGCCCGCGUCUGAUGAGCAAGUUGGUGGGGUAACGGCCUACCAAGUCGACGAUCAGUAGCUGGUCUGAGAGGAUGAUCAGCCACACUGGGACGGAGCCACGGCUCAAACGCGUGCGGGCGGCAGCAGUGGGGACUAUAGGACCACGGGCGCGAGCCUGCGCCGGCCAUGGCGCGUGGGUGAUCAAGGCCUUAGGGUCGUCAAGCUCUUUUGUCCGGGACGAUAAUGACGGUACCGGAAGAAUAAGCCCCGGCUAACUUCGUG